AUCCCAAAGGUAUAGUCUAUUUUGCCCUGUGCUGGCUAGGUUGUAGAGGGACUGAGCCUAGCUAUCUAUAGCCUUGUGCACACCUGAGUGUCCUCUGAGCACCUCAUUUUCGUGAACCCAUAUUUUCAUCUAUAAAACCGAGAAAAUAAAACUCUAUCCUUUUAUUCCUAAGAGGUGUAGGGAAGCAAAGUUCAAUAGGUCUGAUAUUGCCAAGAAAUGACUUACAGAGUGUGGCAUUUAAUCUUCACAGGAAAUCACAGUAUUUAAAGAACAAACUGACUCUCAGGUAAAGAGUGAGCUACUGGUUCAUCUUAGCUUGUCACAAGUCCACUCAGCCCCUCCUUUUAUUUUGUAUUGUUUCCCUUUCUAAAUGAUGAGGACUAAUUCUUAUGUUUUGGCAAUGGUUCUGUUGCUGGGUAGACUUCCAACACUGCCUCAUGAUUCAUUGUCUGCAUACUGUAGUGAGAAUUUUGAUUUCUUUAAAAAACACAGAAAUCUUAUAAGAAUACAUUUUUGUUUUAAUCCCGGGUGUGGGAUAUGCGGCUGCUUCAGAUUGUCUUACAGAAGCUGACUAUGAUUUGCCUCAUGCUCUAGCAGGGGCAUGAUUUUGCCAGCUACAGAUAGCUUGUGCAAGUGUAGAACAUUUGGAAUCUGGGGUCUUUUGAGCAUGUAGAUAAAUGCUGGGGCCCUGAGGGGAUGUUGGUGGGUUGUUGGUUGCUUGGUGUUGGUUGCAGUUUGGUAAGUAGUCAUGUGCAAACAAGAAACAACAAGAAGAAAUAAGAUAUCUUCACAGCAAAGAUCAAACUUGCCCCCAAGGACCUCGAUGUCCCUAAUCAGCAGGAAGUAGUAGUUUCUCAAUAUAGUAAUCCCCUUUCCCCUCUAUCCUUUUUUUCUCUCCUAUCUGAUGUUUGGGGAUGGAAAGAGUGGGAAAAGUGGGUGGAGAAGGAUAAAAAGAACACACAACAUAGCAAAGGUCUGUCUACAGCAUAUAUUCCAUUUUAGUUUAUAUUUGCUGUGGUUGAUAAACAUUCAUGCUCUACUUAGCUCACUUCUGCCACAAAGAAUUCCACAACCGACAUCCUCAUUUGUGACCUUUGAAGAUCUAUAUGGAAUUACUUCUUAGAUUUGCCCAGGAGUUAGAUCCAUGGGUCAUGUGAUAUAUGCAAAUUUCAUUUCAGGUUGGCUUUUAUUCUGGAAGCCAUAUAUGAGAGGUCCCAUAUCCUUACCUUUCCACCAUUAAAUGAAAUACGUCUUGGUCAUUCUGAUAUCUGAAAGUGGCAUUUAAUUAUUUUAGUUUCCAUUCUUUUGAUGGCUAGUUGGGACUGCAUCUUUUCACUCCUUUUUUAAUCUAAUGUUCCUUUCUGAAAAUGAGUGUUUUGUGUCCUUUAUCUACUUUACAUUCUUAGUAGUCUUAGUGUAAGUCCCUUGUUAGCUUCAAAUGCUACAAUAAUUAACUCUCAAUUUGUAAUUAAAUAACUUAUCAAUUACAUCUUCUUUUUGCCAAAUAUACUUGCUAUGUCAAGCAGGCAAGUCUGGCAUUCUUAUAUUUAGUGGUUAGUAACUCUGGAAUUAAUUUUUUGGAAAUAGUUUCUACUCCAAAUAAGGACUUUGGAUCUUUAUUAUAAAUGAGGAAAUUAUUAUUUCAUCCUGCUCAAUCAGAAACAUGACUUAAAACUCAGUAAUUAACUCUUCACAACUUAGAUCAUGAUAUUGACAACAUUUUAAAAGCAAUCAGGUAUGGGGGAGGGUAUAGGGGACUUUCGGAGAGGAAACUAGGAAAGGAGAUAGCAUUUGAAAUGUAAAUGAAGAAAAUUUCU
RNAcentral lists this long non-coding RNA (1817 nucleotides) under Mus musculus (house mouse). RNAcentral's name for it is "long non-coding RNA chr13:20543851-20545668". Lineage: Eukaryota; Metazoa; Chordata; Mammalia; Rodentia; Muridae. The record is from RNAcentral.